GGGAGUUUGGUCUAGUGGUAAAAUUCCCGCUUAGGGUCCGAGAGGUCGAGGGUUCAGUUCCCGCAACUCCCC
This 72-nucleotide transfer RNA is filed under the name Pleodorina starrii. RNAcentral's name for it is "tRNA-Pro". It matches the Rfam family "tRNA". Rfam says of the family: Transfer RNA (tRNA) molecules are approximately 80 nucleotides in length. Their secondary structure includes four short double-helical elements and three loops (D, anti-codon, and T loops). Further hydrogen bonds mediate the characteristic L-shaped molecular structure. tRNAs have two regions of fundamental functional importance: the anti-codon, which is responsible for specific mRNA codon recognition, and the 3' end, to which the tRNAs corresponding amino acid is attached (by aminoacyl-tRNA synthetases). tRNAs cope with the degeneracy of the genetic code in two manners: having more than one tRNA (with a specific anti-codon) for a particular amino acid; and 'wobble' base-pairing, i.e. permitting non-standard base-pairing at the 3rd anti-codon position. The record is from RNAcentral. Lineage: Eukaryota; Viridiplantae; Chlorophyta; Chlorophyceae; Chlamydomonadales; Volvocaceae.